Molecule: long non-coding RNA, 542 nt
Organism: Gossypium raimondii (Peruvian cotton)
Lineage: Eukaryota; Viridiplantae; Streptophyta; Magnoliopsida; Malvales; Malvaceae
Exons: 2
Source: RefSeq, a predicted model, not a curated record
UGAAACCCUAAGAAAUCAAUCUUAGCUUUGGGGAAUUGGAGAUCAUCUUAUGUAGUUGUAUGUUUGAAAUCCGAUUCAAGAUCCAACCUCGGUGAUAACAAGGGUAAUUUCAUAGUUUCAACUCUGUUUGCAACAAGGAAUUGAAGCUAACAGUUUGCCACUUUCCCCCAAUUAUCUGGAGACGGUCUCCUGGUAAAGUAGCCAAUAUAUCACCAUGUUUCUGGAAAUUUCCAUUUUUAUUCCUCGUAUAAUGAUCUACCACUCUUUAGUAGAGGUUGAGUUUGGUUAAAGUAUAUCUAUCUAGGGCUAGGGUUCCUUUUAAGUCAAGAUGACAGGCCACAAUUUAGCAGCUAGCUUUUGAUGAUUACUGUUAGGGAUUUAAUGGGACGGGUGAGAUAAAUAUUGCUAAAUAUGGAACCAGGCGAGAUAGAUAUUAUAAAUUCUAUCAUCAUUUUUCAAUUGAUAUGUUGUCUUCUUUCACAGUUAAUGUAUAAUCUUGAAAAUUUAUAUCUAUGAAUAUUAAAUGCAUCUAUUCAUCCUUA